RNAcentral lists this ribosomal RNA (449 nucleotides) under uncultured bacterium. Its description in RNAcentral is "partial 16S ribosomal RNA". It matches the Rfam family "Bacterial small subunit ribosomal RNA", at positions 338 to 795 of the family's 1533-position model. The record is from RNAcentral.
CCUACGGGUGGCUGCAGUAAGGAAUAUUGGUCAAUGGACGCAAGUCUGAACCAGCCAUGCCGCGUGGAGGAUGAAGGUCCUCUGGAUUGUAAACUUCUUUUAUUUGGGAAGAAACUCCCGAUUUCCAUCGGGAUUGACGGUACCAGAUGAAUAAGCACCGGCUAACUCCGUGCCAGCAGCCGCGGUAAUACGGAGGGUGCAAACGUACUCGGGUUUCACGGGGUUUAAAUGGUCAGGUAGUGGGCUGGUGAAAUCUACGGGCUUAACCCGGAAACUGCCAUUGAUACUAUUUGUCUUGAAUACUCUGGAGGUGAGCGGAAUAUGUCAUGUAGCGGUGAAAUGCUUAGAUAUGACAUAGAACACCCAUUGCGAAGGCAGCUCACUACGGAAAUAUUGACGCUGAGGCACGAAAGCGUGGGGAUCAAACAGGAUUAGAUACCCCAGUAGUC